RNAcentral lists this ribosomal RNA (468 nucleotides) under uncultured bacterium. RNAcentral's name for it is "partial 16S ribosomal RNA". It matches the Rfam family "Bacterial small subunit ribosomal RNA", at positions 28 to 507 of the family's 1533-position model. The record is from RNAcentral.
GACGAACGCUGGCGGCGUGCCUAACACAUGCAAGUCGAACGGAAAGGCCCUGCUUUUGUGGGGAGGUGGAGUGGCGAAGGGGUGAGCAACACGUGAGUAAGCCGUACCUGACCUAGGGAUAUCCUAAGGAAACAGGGGCUAUUAUGAGAUAGGAGUUAUUGCCGCUUGGUGGGGGCUGGAAAGAUUCGGCGGUUGGGGAUGGACUAGCGGCUUAUGGGCUUGUUGGAGAGGUAGUGGCAUACCAUGGUUUUGACGGAUAGCCGGCCUGAGAGGGUGACCAGCCACAUUAGGACUGAGAUACGGCCCAGACUCGUACGGGAGGCAGCGGUGGAGAAUAUUGCACAGUGGGCGGAAGCCUGAUGCGGCAACGCCGCGUGCGGGAUGACAGCCUUCGAGUUGUAAACCGCUUUCGCCUGUAACGAAGCGUUAGUGACGGUAAUGGGUAAAAAAGCACCGGCUAACUACGUG